UACGGAGGGUGCAAGCGUUAAUCGGAAUUACUGGGCGUAAAGCGCUCGUAGGCUGUUAUGUAAGUCAGAGGUGAAAUGCCAGGGCUCAACCGUGGAACUGCCUUUGAUACUGCGUAACUUGAGUCCGGGAGAGGAUGGCGGAAUUCCAGGUGUAGGAGUGAAAUGCGUAGAUAUCUGGAGGAACACCGGUGGCGAAGGCGGCCACCUGGACGACAACUGACGCUGAGGUGCGAAAGCGUGGGUAGCAAACAGG
RNAcentral lists this ribosomal RNA (253 nucleotides) under uncultured Desulfovibrio sp. RNAcentral describes it as "partial 16S ribosomal RNA". It matches the Rfam family "Bacterial small subunit ribosomal RNA", at positions 524 to 776 of the family's 1533-position model. The record is from RNAcentral. Lineage: Bacteria; Pseudomonadati; Thermodesulfobacteriota; Desulfovibrionia; Desulfovibrionales; Desulfovibrionaceae.